This 66-nucleotide transfer RNA is filed under the name Henicus brevimucronatus. Its description in RNAcentral is "tRNA-Tyr". The record is from RNAcentral. Lineage: Eukaryota; Metazoa; Arthropoda; Insecta; Orthoptera; Anostostomatidae.
GGUAGAAUGGCCGAGAUAAAAGGUAAUAAACUGUAAAUUUAUUUAGGGGAUUAUUCUCUUCUACCA